CCAUCAUCAUCACCUUCAUUCAACAUGCUGUCCCUGCAGAACUCAGCUUUUUCUCUGAUGUUGUUUUCAAUCUUAUCCGGCGUCAGCUGUGAAGAUCUGACUCCAGUCAAAACAGACGAGUUCAGUUCAGAAGGCAGCACUGUUACUCUGUCCUACAAAGCUGGAUCUGAUGCUAAUUAUUACUUCUGGUAUCGACAAUAUCCUGGAAAACCACCAGAGUUCCUCAUCUCACACUCUGCUUCAGGCCAAGUAGGAACUAACCCAAUCCCUGGACUGAAUAUUACAGUGACGAAAAAGCAAAUGGAGUCAAACCGAAUCAAUAUGAUCAUCUCCUCUGCUGCAGUGACAGACUCUGCUGUGUACUACUGUGCUCUGCAGCCCACAGUG
Molecule: non-coding RNA, 387 nt
Organism: Trematomus bernacchii (emerald rockcod)
Lineage: Eukaryota; Metazoa; Chordata; Actinopteri; Perciformes; Nototheniidae
Source: the annotation of a RefSeq genome assembly